Molecule: ribosomal RNA, 544 nt
Filed under: Pediococcus acidilactici
Lineage: Bacteria; Bacillati; Bacillota; Bacilli; Lactobacillales; Lactobacillaceae
Description: bacterial SSU rRNA
Source: RNAcentral
UGAGAUUUUAACACGAAGUGAGUGGCGRACGGGUGAGUAACACGUGGGUAACCUGCCCAGAAGUAGGGGAUAACACCUGGAAACAGAUGCUAAUACCGUAUAACAGAGAAAACCGCCUGGUUUUCUUUUAAAAGAUGGCUCUGCUAUCACUUCUGGAUGGACCCGCGGCGYAUUAGCURGUUGGUGAGGUAAMGGCUCACCAAGGCRAUGAURCGUAGCCGACCUGAGAGGGUAAUCGGCCACAUUGGGACUGAGACACGGCCCAGACUCCUACGGGAGGCAGCAGUAGGGAAUCUUCCACAAUGGACGCAAGUCUGAUGGAGCAACGCCGCGUGAGUGAAGAAGGGUUUCGGCUCGUAAAGCUCUGUUGUUAAAGAAGAACGUGGGURAGAGUAACUGUUYACCCAGUGACGGUAUUUAACCAGAAAGCCACGGCUAACUACGUGCCAGCAGCCGCGGUAAUACGUAGGUGGCAAGCGUUAUCCGGAUUUAUUGGGCGUAAAGCGAGCGCAGGCGGUCUUUUAAGUCUAAUGUGAAAGCCUUC